RNAcentral lists this ribosomal RNA (495 nucleotides) under uncultured bacterium. RNAcentral's name for it is "partial 16S ribosomal RNA". It matches the Rfam family "Bacterial small subunit ribosomal RNA", at positions 28 to 507 of the family's 1533-position model. The record is from RNAcentral.
GAUGAACGCUGGCGGCGUGCCUAAUACAUGCAAGUAGAACGCUGAAGGAGGAGCUUGCUCUUCUGGAUGAGUUGCGAACGGGUGAGUAACGCGUAGGUAACCUGCCUGGUAGCGGGGGAUAACUAUUGGAAACGAUAGCUAAUACCGCAUGACAACAGUUAUUGCAUGAUAACUGUUUAAAAGGGGCAACUGCUCCACUACCAGAUGGACCUGCGUUGUAUUAGCUAGUUGGUGAGGUAACGGCUCACCAAGGCGACGAUACAUAGCCGACCUGAGAGGGUGAUCGGCCACACUGGGACUGAGACACGGCCCAGACUCCUACGGGAGGCAGCAGUAGGGAAUCUUCGGCAAUGGACGGAAGUCUGACCGAGCAACGCCGCGUGAGUGAAGAAGGUUUUCGGAUCGUAAAGCUCUGUUGUAAGAGAAGAACGAGUGCGAGAGUGGAAAGUUCACACUGUGACGGUAUCUUACCAGAAAGGGACGGCUAACUACGUG